UGCGGUCCUCGGUAGUGGCCUUUGCGGGCGUCCUCACCGGCCGCGCGAAGGGCCUCGAUCGAAGACCGGG
Regulatory RNA element from Sinomonas sp. R1AF57, 70 nucleotides. It matches the Rfam family "Actino-pnp RNA". The record is from Rfam. NCBI's taxonomy places the organism in Bacteria, Bacillati, Actinomycetota, Actinomycetes, Micrococcales, Micrococcaceae.